This is a long non-coding RNA of Phasianus colchicus (ring-necked pheasant), 2106 nucleotides long. NCBI's taxonomy places the organism in Eukaryota, Metazoa, Chordata, Aves, Galliformes, Phasianidae. The record is from Ensembl.
AUGUCCCUGGGCUGUGCUGCAGCUGCAAGCCCAGGAGUUGGAGUGCAGCUGGCAGUACCAGGGCGGCAAGCACCUACCAGCAGCCUGAGAACACCAGCAGGAACGGCCCAGGGACUGACCACCAAGGCUGGGAAGAUCCACACAGCUUGGAGAGAUGCUCAGGAGGGCAGCAGAGACACUCGUGCUGCCACUACACCAUCUUCCAGAGCAGCUCAGAAGGGCCUAGAAGAGCAGGCAGGCAGCAAAAGGCGAGGCAAGAAGUAUCUGCCUGCAUUAGUGCCUGAAGAUGCAGACAACUUAGAUUCUCUCAAGGUUGCACACUCUCCAGAGAAGGCUGAUGAUGCACCAUUCUUCCGAAGAGUGUGUGAAGGGGGAGAAAGAAACAUAACUGCCACCUCCAUGCCUGAAGUCUCCAGACAAGCUCUGGGAGCAGCACUGAGACUGCAAGAUCCCAGAGGGGUCAACCAGGAGGCCUAUGGAUGUUCUCUAGUACAUCGAGCAAUCCGGAGAAUUCGGGAUGAGGCAAGGAGGGAGCAGAUGUUGUCCACCUGGAACAUCUCCUGGCCAAACGUGAGCAUGCUCAGGCUGCUAAAACUUGAAGCAGCACAUGCCAGUGCCAGUGCUACUGACAGUGCUCAGGGUAUGCUGGACACCCGCGCCACAACAUCGAUGGUAGAGAGCCCCAUUCCUGUACCAGGAGAGUUCAUAUCCUGGGAUGCUGGAGUGCAGGAUGAACCGCAUGAUUCAGAAGAGAUUGCUGAGACAGAAACUGCGGGACAGUCAUCUGGUGACCUGCAGAGUGCAUGUCUUGCUCCAUCUGAUGAGGCAGAAACAGUGCGUUCAGCUUCUCUUCCGGAUGCAGGUCCUGGGCUUAGAGGACACCUUGAGCCAUUGCCCACAUCUGUGCUUGAAGAUGUAGAAAACUCAGAUUCUUUUGAGACUGCGCACUAUCCAGAGGUGGCCAGUGCAGCACCACUCCUCAUGUCAGCAUGUGAGGAAAGAGAAGAAACAGUGAUGGCUGUGCUGGAACUGUCCAAACAAGCUCUGGGGGAAACAUCAAAACUGCAAGAUGCCAGAGAGAUCUAUGAGGUGACCUAUGGAUAUUCUCCAAUUUUCCCAGCAAUUUUCCCAGAAACUGCAGGACAGUCAUCUGGUAACCUGCAGAGUGCAUGUGUUGCCCAGUCUGAUGAGGCAGAAACAGCACAUUCAGCUUCUCUUCUGGAUGCAGGUGCUGAGCCUGCAGGACAGCUUGAGCCAUUGCCUGCAUCAGAUCCUCAAGAUGUGGAAAACUCAGACUGUUUCACAGCAGCACACUCUCUGGAGGUGGCCAAUGAAGCACCCUUCUUCCUGCCACUGAGUGAGGGAGAAGAAAGAGAAGAACCAGCUAUGGCCAUGUCUGAGUCCUCCAGACAAGGUCUGGGAGAAACAUGGAGAUUGCAAGAUCCUAGAGAGAUCUACUGGAAGUCUUAUGGAUGUCCUCCAGUUCACCCAGCAAUCCUCAGAAUCCGUGAUGAGGCAAGGAGGGAGAAGAUGUUGUCCAGUAGGAACAUGUCUGAGCCAUACAGUCUGAGCAGCCCCAGGCUUCUCGUGCUCCAAGCAGCAGAUGACGGGGCCAGUGCUGCUGACACUGUUUGUGGCAUGCUGAACAUCUGCACCACAACAUCGAGGGCAGAUGGCCACUUUCCUGCCUCUUGUGAUUCCCAUAGUCGGCAUAUUAGAAUUAAGUAUGCACCGGGAGAGUCCACUGACAAUGCUGCCAGUGAUGCCAGCACCAAUCACAGCAUGCUGGAUGCCAGGGACACUGGAGUGAGGACUGACAGCAUGGCCACACCCUCCUUUUUUUCCUUUGAUUCUGUGGAGGGUGUGGAAGAGGAAUGGGAAGACAACCGUGAGGAAGAAGCUGCUGAAGCAGCUAGUGUGCCACCAAGCAUUUCUCAUUCCUCAUCUGGUGAGAUGAAGACAGCAGCGGCUCACCGCUGGAUGCCAGCUGUCAUCAGGAGUGUGUUCCGGGUUCUGCGCAGGGCUUCCAUUUGCAGCUGCAUCAGUGGACAGCAAGAGGAGACGUACGAGGCUGCAAACACCAGGCAGCUCCCCAGAGAUGUCUGA